This is a non-coding RNA of Carnobacterium sp., 173 nucleotides long. The record is from Rfam. Lineage: Bacteria; Bacillati; Bacillota; Bacilli; Lactobacillales; Carnobacteriaceae.
UCUUUCGCGAGAAAGAAUCCGAAGGAAGCUGGACGCAAACACUCGCCCUGACGAACAGAAAUCUCAUACAAGGCUGGAUGGAGAUGGACGAGCUUGCCAAACAAAGCGAAGUCCGAUACUGCACGAGUCUCCUACAGUAAAUGAGGCAGUGACAUGAGUGGAAGGUUAUAACU